CCGGAAAUAGCUGGUUCUCCCCGAAAACUAUUUAGGUAGUGCGUCAUGUAUCACUUGCGGGGGUAAAGCACUGUUAUGGCUAGGGGGUCAUCGCGACUUACCAAACCAUGGCAAACUCUGAAUACCGCAAAGUGCGAGCAAGUGCAGACGGAGUACGAGUGGGUGCUAACGUUCAUUGUCGAGAGGGAAACAACCCAGACCGCCAGCUAAGGUCCCAAAGACACAGUUAAGUGGGAAACGAAGUGGGAAGGCAUAGACAGCUAGGAGGUUGGCUUAGAAGCAGCCACCCUUUAAAGAAAGCGUAAUAGCUCACUAGUCGAGUCGUCCUGCGCGGAAGAUGUAACGGGGCUCAAACUGUGCACCGAAGCUGCGGAUAUCGAAAGAUAUGGUAGGGGAGCGUUCUGUAGGUCUGUGAAGGUGUCUCGUAAGGGAUGCUGGAGAUAUCAGAAGUGCGAAUGCUGACAUGAGUAGCGAUAAAGCGGGUGAAAGGCCCGCUCGCCGAAAGCCCAAGG
This 512-nucleotide ribosomal RNA is filed under the name uncultured bacterium. Its description in RNAcentral is "bacterial LSU rRNA". It matches the Rfam family "Bacterial large subunit ribosomal RNA", at positions 839 to 1350 of the family's 2925-position model. The record is from RNAcentral.